CUCCUCCCUCCUCUCCUACCCAAAUCCCAGGGAAGAAAUGGGAGGGAGUUACGCGGGACGCGUGCUUGGCUCCAGCACUUUGGGAAUGAAAGGAAUUGCAGGAGAGCCCCGGAGCCCACAGAGUUUUCAAGGAGCUUCUGUAUUCAAUAAAAACAGCUACUUGUCUACUUGCACCCGUCUGUUAGCCUCUCGUUCGUCGGCGGGGGAGGGGAGGAGCCCAGCGUCUGAUUUGCCACACCGCUGGAGUUCUGGGCUGGCAGCCGUAACCUUAUCCUUGUGCAAAAAUCUGCUUCUUAUAGCAGACGUGGAACCGGAGGAUACAUUGCUCUGCCCGCUCCGAAAAGUAUUUUUAUUUUAUUUUAUUUUAUUUUUUGUGUCUUUAAACUGAGAGUUAGAAGGGAUGAAGGUGAGAUGGAGGGACCUAGAAGGUCAAAACACUUGAUCUUAUAGGGAAGCUGUCCUUGGAGAUCUGAAACUGACAAGUUUCUCUCUUAAAAUGUUUAAAUUCUGCACUAGCUUCAUUCAGUCUCGUCUCUUAAAGAGCUGAACUGUACCCUGAAACAGGAGGAGAAAGAUGUAUGGGAGCUGACAUUGAGGGGAAUAGAUUUGGCAUUUGCUAAGCUCCUGUGUGUCAGCAAAAAUAUAACAUGACUUUUUACAAAGUGGUACAGGACAGCAUCAACAUCUCUAUCAGUAGAAGGAGAUGGGGUUUAAACAUUUUCAUGAACCAUGCGUCAUGGCCAAAGUGUUUAUCUUGAAGGCAGUCUCCAAUAAAUAUUCUACAAGCAAAUCUCUGUUUAAAUCUAUUUCCUGGAAACUUUACCUAAGAGGGUUGAUGUCAGAAGUAAUUUAAGGAAGCAAGAACAAUAAUGGUAUUUUGGAGUUGAAUCAUCAGUUGGUCAUCUGGCAAUGAGGACCUUUUACUGGUAGUAGAUAAAACAUCAUUAACCCCUGGCAUAAUGUAAAUGUGCAGUUGUUAAAAUGUUCAUCUGUGAUAAACUAGAAUGGGAUUUUGAUGAAAGCAAAUACACUGGCAGGUGCAGUAUCUCAGGCAUAUCAGAAGUUCAGAAGUAAGAGCUAUGAAACUGGAUGGAAGUUCUAAAUAUGAGAUGAUUAACCACCAACUAAAAGACUAUGCAUAAAAGCCAGAAUACCACCUUGGCAGUUAAUGAAGUAACCUUCAUUUUUUUUUUUUUUUUUUUUUUUUUUGUGAGUGAUUGGCAGAAAACAAAAA
Molecule: long non-coding RNA, 1234 nt
Organism: Herpailurus yagouaroundi (jaguarundi)
Lineage: Eukaryota; Metazoa; Chordata; Mammalia; Carnivora; Felidae
Exons: 3
Source: RefSeq, a predicted model, not a curated record